CAGCAGCCGCCGCGGGAAUACGAAGGGGGCUAGCGUUGCUCGGAAUCGCUGGGCGUAAAGGGUGCGUAGGCGGGUCUUUAAGUCAGGGGUGAAAUCCCGGGGCUCAACCCCGGAACUGCCUUUGAUACUGGAAGUCUUGAGUAUGGUAGAGGUGAGUGGAAUUCCGAGUGUAGAGGUGAAAUUCGUAGAUAUUCGGAGGAACACCAGUGGCGAAGGCGGCUCACUGGACCAUUACUGACGCUGAGGUGCGAAAGCGUGGGGAGCGAACAGGAUUAGAUACCCCUGUAGUCCCUGUCUCUUAUAC
RNAcentral lists this ribosomal RNA (304 nucleotides) under uncultured bacterium. RNAcentral's name for it is "partial 16S ribosomal RNA". It matches the Rfam family "Bacterial small subunit ribosomal RNA", at positions 506 to 807 of the family's 1533-position model. The record is from RNAcentral.